UACGGGGAGGGUGCGAGCGUUGUCCGGAAUCGAUUGGGCGUAAAGAGCUCGUAGGCGGCUUGUCACGUCGGGUGUGGAAAGCCCGGGGCUUAACCCCGGGUCUGCAUUCGAUACGGGGCUAGCUAGAGUGUGGUAGGGGAGAUCGGAAUUCCUGGUGUAGCGGUGAAAUGCGCAGAUAUCAGGAGGAACACCGGUGGCGAAGGCGGAUCUCUGGGCCAUUACUGACGCUGAGGAGCGAAAGCGUGGGGAGCGAACAGG
RNAcentral lists this ribosomal RNA (258 nucleotides) under uncultured bacterium. RNAcentral describes it as "partial 16S ribosomal RNA". It matches the Rfam family "Bacterial small subunit ribosomal RNA", at positions 522 to 776 of the family's 1533-position model. The record is from RNAcentral.